This 88-nucleotide transfer RNA is filed under the name Gammaproteobacteria bacterium. Its description in RNAcentral is "tRNA-Ser". It matches the Rfam family "tRNA". Rfam says of the family: Transfer RNA (tRNA) molecules are approximately 80 nucleotides in length. Their secondary structure includes four short double-helical elements and three loops (D, anti-codon, and T loops). Further hydrogen bonds mediate the characteristic L-shaped molecular structure. tRNAs have two regions of fundamental functional importance: the anti-codon, which is responsible for specific mRNA codon recognition, and the 3' end, to which the tRNAs corresponding amino acid is attached (by aminoacyl-tRNA synthetases). tRNAs cope with the degeneracy of the genetic code in two manners: having more than one tRNA (with a specific anti-codon) for a particular amino acid; and 'wobble' base-pairing, i.e. permitting non-standard base-pairing at the 3rd anti-codon position. The record is from RNAcentral. Lineage: Bacteria; Pseudomonadati; Pseudomonadota; Gammaproteobacteria.
GGAGAGGUGGCUGAGUGGUCGAAAGCGGCGGUCUUGAAAACCGUUGAUCCGAAAGGUCCCGGGGGUUCGAAUCCCUCCCUCUCCGCCA